CCAGUGCUCCUGAGAGGCUGUCAUGGAGCCGUCUCUGGGACAGGAAACCACAGCCCUGAUUGGCAGGACCCAAGAACCAGUCCCUCCCUUGGUGACCUGGACCCCUUCCCAGCAGCUGAUUCCAGCCAUCUGGUGCAAAUGCCAUGCUGGCCCAGACACCAUCCAUUACCCAUCAUCACACCCAUCCAUUACCCGCUAGGAAGGACAGCGUGGACCACCAGAGGAGCACACCUCGGGUCAUAUUCUCACUGCUCAAGUGCUCCAUGAGUAUGCAUUGAGCACCUGCUGUAUGCCAGGCACAUGCAUCAGAAGGAUCCAUGAACAGAACAGCCCUGCCCUCCUGGGGCUCCCACCCUGUGGGGGAGACACCAGGAGCAGGUGAGGAUGUGAGCAAUCGGUUCCACAGAUGAUCAGUGUCGAUUCUCUGUGCAUGAAAGAAGGACAGACAGAGAGACAGAGACAGGGAGAGAAGCGACGGACACAAGGGAGAGUGGUCUGCUUUGGCUGGGCAUAGGUGGUCCCCCAAUCAGAUGAGGACAGCACCAGCGGCCACUCUGCCCUCCACCCCUGGCCAGCCGUGGACUCUGCUCAGGCCCGCUCUUUACUUUCCAGGGCGAAUCACCAACCCCAGGUCCAGGUUAAAACUCCCCUUCAGCCAAGGACCUCGGGGCUCGCUGCAUUGAGAUGAUUCUCCCAGCCCCAUCUCACUGGUACAGCCUCCCCUGGGGGUGCCUCCGCCAGCCAGCAGAGCCUGCCUUGGUCAGCACCACUGUGUCUGUUGGUCUCUCUGCCGCAGACCCCCUGGCUGCUCCCACCCCAGACUCUCCAGGCUCACCCUCCCCCGGAGCCAUCAAUCAACCUGGGUGCAUUAGACUCCUGCAAAUUGUUCCUACAGAAAGCGUCACUGUGGGGGAAGGAGCUGUGGGAUUCCCACACCCCCACCUGGCCCUGGGGAGGGUGUCUUCUCUCUUAUGUCUUGAAGCAAAAUCCCAGGAGGGGUCCUGGCCCACCAUGGCCCAAACAGCAGCUGCUGCUCAUCACUG
RNAcentral lists this long non-coding RNA (1043 nucleotides) under Marmota monax (woodchuck). The record is from RNAcentral. Lineage: Eukaryota; Metazoa; Chordata; Mammalia; Rodentia; Sciuridae.